RNAcentral lists this ribosomal RNA (111 nucleotides) under Dysgonomonas sp. Lineage: Bacteria; Pseudomonadati; Bacteroidota; Bacteroidia; Bacteroidales; Dysgonomonadaceae. The record is from RNAcentral.
UCAGGUGGUUAUAGUAUUGGGGUUCCACCUCUUCCCAUUCCGAACAGAGAAGUUAAGCCCAAUCACGCCGAUGGUACUGCAGUUAUGUGGGAGAGUAGGUAACCGCCGGUU